ACGUUAGCGGCGGACGGGUGAGUAACACGUGGAUAACCUACCUAUAAGACUGGGAUAACUUCGGGAAACCGGAGCUAAUACCGGAUAACAUGUUGAACCGCAUGGUUCAACAGUGAAAGACGGUCUUGCUGUCACUUAUAGAUGGAUCCGCGCCGCAUUAGCUAGUUGGUAAGGUAACGGCUUACCAAGGCAACGAUGCGUAGCCGACCUGAGAGGGUGAUCGGCCACACUGGAACUGAGACACGGUCCAGACUCCUACGGGAGGCAGCAGUAGGGAAUCUUCCGCAAUGGGCGAAAGCCUGACGGAGCAACGCCGCGUGAGUGAAGAAGGUCUUCGGAUCGUAAAACUCUGUUAUUAGGGAAGAACAAAUGUGUAAGUAACUAUGCACGUCUUGACGGUACCUAAUCAGAAAGCCACGGCUAACUACGUGCCAGCAGCCGCGGUAAUACGUAGGUGGCAAGCGUUAUCCGGAAUUAUUGGGCGUAAAGCGCGCGUAGGCGGUUUUUUAAGUCUGAUGUGAAAGCCCACGGCUCAACCGUGGAGGGUCAUUGGAAACUGGAAAACUUGAGUGCAGAAGAGGAAAGUGGAAUUCCAUGUGUAGCGGUGAAAUGCGCAGAGAUAUGGAGGAACACCAGUGGCGAAGGCGACUUUCUGGUCUGUAACUGACGCUGAUGUGCGAAAGCGUGGGGAUCAAACAGGAUUAGAUACCCUGGUAGUCCACGCCGUAAACGAUGAGUGCUAAGUGUUAG
RNAcentral lists this ribosomal RNA (750 nucleotides) under Staphylococcus sp. RNAcentral describes it as "bacterial SSU rRNA". It matches the Rfam family "Bacterial small subunit ribosomal RNA", at positions 89 to 826 of the family's 1533-position model. Lineage: Bacteria; Bacillati; Bacillota; Bacilli; Caryophanales; Staphylococcaceae. The record is from RNAcentral.